GAUGAACGCUGGCGGCGUGCCUAAUACAUGCAAGUCGAGCGAACGGACGAGAAGCUUGCUGCUCUGAUGUUAGCGGCGGACGGGUGAGUAACACGUGUAUAACCUACCUAUAAGACGGGGAUAACUUCGGGAAACCGGAGCUAAUAGCGUAUAAUAUUUUGAACCGCAGGGUGCAAAAGUGAAAGACGGUCUUGCUGUCACUUAUAGAUGGAUCCGCGCUGCAUUAGCUAGUUGGUAAGGUAACGGCUUACCAAGGCAACGAUGCAUAGCCGACCUGAGAGGGUGAUAGGCCACACUGGAACUGAGACACGGUCCAGACUCCUACGGGAGGCAGCAGUAGGGAAUCUUCCGCAAUGGGCGAAAGCCUGACGGAGCAACGCCGAGUGAGUGAUGAAGGUCUUCGGAUCGUAAAACUCUGUUACUAGGGAAGAACAGAUGUGUAAGUAACUGUGCACAUCUUGACGGUACCUAAUAAGAAAGCAACGGCUAACUACGUG
This 497-nucleotide ribosomal RNA is filed under the name uncultured bacterium. Its description in RNAcentral is "partial 16S ribosomal RNA". It matches the Rfam family "Bacterial small subunit ribosomal RNA", at positions 28 to 507 of the family's 1533-position model. The record is from RNAcentral.